Molecule: ribosomal RNA, 245 nt
Filed under: uncultured bacterium
Lineage: Bacteria
Description: partial 16S ribosomal RNA
Rfam family: Bacterial small subunit ribosomal RNA
Source: RNAcentral
CGUUGCCUACGGGGGGCAGCAGUAGGGAAUUUUCGUCAAUGGGCGCAAGCCUGACCGAGCAACGCCGCGUGAAUGAGGAAGGUCUUCGGAUCGUAAAGUUCUGUUGUAGGGGAAAAAGAGCGGAGAGAGGAAAUGGUCUCCGAUUGAUAUUACCCUUCCAGGAAGUCACGGCUAACUACGUGCCAGCAGCCGCGGUAAUACGUAGGUGGCAAGCGUUAUCCGGGUUUAUUGGGCGUUAAGGGAAC